Molecule: transfer RNA, 76 nt
Filed under: Podarcis lilfordi (Lilford's wall lizard)
Lineage: Eukaryota; Metazoa; Chordata; Lepidosauria; Squamata; Lacertidae
Description: tRNA.Lys
Rfam family: tRNA (bases 11-68)
About the family: Transfer RNA (tRNA) molecules are approximately 80 nucleotides in length.
Source: RNAcentral
GUCCUCAGGAUAGCUCAGUCAGUAGAGCACGAGACUCUUAAUUUCAGGUUUGUGGGUUUGAGCCCCACAUCGGGUA